GGCAAGCCGCAUUUCACGCGGCCAAUAUGGCGUUCCCCAUUUAGGUAGCGUCUACCCUAGAUGGCCGUGGGCAGUGCUGAGUUGGGAGUGUUUUCUCUCUCUAACCCGGGCUGCAGAAAGCUGCAUUUAAAGUUCUGCACCUGGUCACUGCUUCAGAAACCCACUUUUCUCUGAGAGUCAAGAAUCGCCGCUUCCUUUUAGUUCCUGCAGGUUACUCAUCUGCCCCUGACUUGUUCACUGCUCCACCUCCGGACACUCUCAAGUCCCUGACACCCCCAGACUCAAAACUAUGAGUCUUCGGCAGCUGCUCAAGCGAUUGCCCUACUUCGGGGCCUCGGGUCCCCCGCGUCGCCCCCUCGACACCAUUUCCUCGGUGGUCUCCUGGCGUGGUCAGUCCUCCAGGUCUCCAGCCCACUGGAACCAAGUGGUGUCAGAGGCUGAGAAGAUCGUGGGCUAUCCCACGUCCUUCAUGAGCCUCCGCUGCCUGCUGAGCGACGAGCUCAGCAACAUCGCUAUGCAGGUGCGGAAGCUGGUGGGAACUCAGCACCCUCUGCUUACCACAGCCAGGGGCCUUGUACAUGACAGCCAGCAUAACCUCCAGUUGAGGGGCUUGGUGGUGCUACUUAUUUCUAAGGCAGCUGGGCCCAGCAGCGUGAAUGCUUCUUGUCAGAACUAUGACAUGGUCAGUGGGAUCUAUUCAUGUCAAAGAAGUUUGGCAGAGAUCACAGAACUUAUCCAUACUGCUCUCCUUGUACAUCGUGGGAUAGUAAAUUUAAAUGAAUUGCAAUCUUCUGAUGGGCCACUGAAAGACAUGCAAUUUGGAAAUAAAAUAGCUAUCCUGAGUGGAGACUUUCUUCUAGCAAAUGCCUGCAAUGGACUAGCUCUGCUACAGAACACCAAGGUUGUGGAACUUUUAGCAAGUGCCCUUAUGGAUUUGGUACAAGGAGUAUACCAUGAAAAUUCUACUUCAGCAAAGGAAAAUCGCAUCACAGAUGAUAUUGGAAUAUCAACUUGGAAGGAACAGACUUUUCUCUCCCAUGGUGCCUUAUUAGCAAAGAGCUGCCAAGCUGCAAUGGAAUUAGCAAAGCAUGAUGCUGAGGUUCAGGAUAUGGCAUUUCAGUAUGGGAAGCACAUGGCCAUGAGUCAUAAGAUAAAUUCUGAUCUCCAGCCUUUUAUUAAAGAAAAGACCAGUGACUCCUUGACUUUUAAUCUAAACUCAGCUCCUGUAGUCUUACAUCAGGAGUUUCUUGGAAGAGAUUUGUGGAUUAAGCAGAUCAGAAAGGCUCAAGAGAAAGGAAAAUUAGACUAUGCUAAGAUGCUGAUUCCGUCUUCAUGGAAAAUUACAUCAGCUUUCUCUCAGUGCAAUCUGUUCACUUCUAAGACCUAGUGUCCAUCACCGCAUGUCCUAUGAGCAAAACAAGUUGUGAUUCCCCUGACUUGGCAACCAUGAAUAGAGAAAGAAGUAAGAAACCAAGCUGGGUCACUGAAAAGGAGUCAAAGAAAGGCACCGGAGAGAUGGGCAGGACUAGCAUUUGGGGAUCAGGGUCUUCUUGCUUUGAGGCUGCCUGAGGUCAGUUGUGUCUUUGAUGAAAUUGUCAAACAUCAAGUCGAGUGUCGGAUUUUGGAAGAUUUGUGGCACAGAUCAGUGAAGGCCUUCAUCUGCCCACCACUUACUGCUCUGAUCUUACCUGUUCCUUCUGGCCACUCUCUAGCUUCAAGACUCUCUGUGUUUUACUCGGAAAGGCCAUGUAAAGGUUUCCAAAUCUGACCUGCAGUUCCCUGCCUCAGCUGCCGCCUGCAGUUUUCCCCACUUAGAAUGCCCUUCACUAGCCUUUGCAGGUCACAAUCCCACUCAGCCAUCCUGUAGGCUCCUAGGACAGCCCCUUCUCCACAGAAGCUUCCUGAUCUGUCCCUGCUCCUCACUCAGCCCCACCCUAGGCCUCUCCUCUAAUCCUGCCCAUCUGCUUUAUAUCACAGUUUUCAGGGUUCAAGAUUGAUUCCUGGGGUAGAAUGACAUCUCUGUAAGGACAGGGACCUUGCUUCUCCGUUUCUUAAUUCCCUAAAGAACUCAAAGCUUUGCAGUCAUAGGUGUUCAAUAAAUAUUUGUUUAAUUUUGAAAGCUUUUGUCACAUUAAACCAGUCAGGCCAUCUUCUAAAGAGGUCUCACCUCCUCUGCCAACAGCAUGGGUGCUCAGCCCUAUAUUUAGGCACUAAAUGCUCUCCUCCACCUCUCUCUAUAGCUGAUAGGAGCCAAAUUCUGUCACUGCAAAAAUUCUCUGGGAAUGUAGGCAUUGGGAAAACACAUCCACUUACUCCAGCCUAGACCAGAGAUCCCUUUGGCACUGAAAUGAUUUGCUUUCUUUCCUAAUGUCAAGGCUGAAUAAAUGCAGUUUCCACAAGUACAAAGUUUACUUUACUGAAGGCUAGGAUUGCAUCAAGCAUCUCCCAAAGCAUUUGCAUGGCUGCAGAAUCUGUACCUUUUGUGUGUCUUAAUUUUUUAAUAUUUAAAGGUUAUUAAAUCAUUGUGUAUCAACUUGGGUGUAGUGUGUUUUAUUAUAGACACUUUAGUAUCUCUAGAAGGAAAAUUUAGGAAAUACCAAAUGUUUGAGUCUUAGAGAACCACACGAGUACCAUGUUUGUCCCAAAACUUACAAGUUUCUCCUUGCCACCAUAGAUAUGC
Sus scrofa (pig) is the source of this 2680-nucleotide RNA transcript. It is a transcript of the gene named decaprenyl diphosphate synthase subunit 2, with no coding region annotated. The record is from RefSeq and is marked provisional. NCBI's taxonomy places the organism in Eukaryota, Metazoa, Chordata, Mammalia, Artiodactyla, Suidae.